UUGUAUGUUAUUUGAAUAAAUAUGAUGCAAUUUACUCGUGGAAAGAAAAGUUUGUCCAAGUACAGUUGCCGUACUACAUCAUCGCCUGCAGAUCACCUCCGCUUAUUUAUUUACCACUCGCUUUUCGCUGAACAUUUUUUUUCUUGAAUCCAUUGCCGAUGUACACGUACACGUUGGAAUAUUCGAUGCGUUACGCUCAUCACUACUUUACUGGACAAAACAAUGUCCAUUAAAUAUUCGAUUUUGGUUAAAGUUAUCCCGUCUUGGUGUUCGUUGAAGUUUCUCGGCCUAGCGUUAUCUUAGUUUAGCUUAGUUUGCUAGCCGCUCACAAAGAGACGCGUUUGUGGUCAACACAUCGCCAAGCAGAGAUCAAGUGUGACCGUAAAGUGUUGUGAUGUGAACGUGUGUACAAGAAGGACAGCACAGUACGAGGAGGAACUUUGUGGAGCAAAACAGGACAACGAAAGACAACGUCAACUAUUGGACGCCGUUUGCAGGAUGAAGCCAAGAACUGUGCUUCACAGAGCAGACGUCAAUGAACACCUUUGUCCGGAGCAGCAGGAACCAGAGGCCACUCACAUGAGACGCGGCUCCUUCACAAUAAAAAAAGAGGAGCAUGAACAGCAUUCUCACAGCGAGGAGGAGGAAAAAGGGCACCCCGGCGUCAAAGAGAAAGAGGCAGACAUCACCAAGCUGUCAUCGACCGGUGUCUCUUUGAAGAGCGAAGACCAAGAUCAAAGUGAGAAAAGCAAUGUAGUGAAGCCUCCAAGCAGAAGCUCAAGUCAACGCUAUAAAUCUGAAGAUAUCAGUGAAGAUGUUGGUCCUGGGCGGCAGGAGCCACAGUCUCCCCACAUUAAGGAGGAAGUGGAGGAUGAAGAGCCACCACACAUUAAAGAAAAGGGGGAGCCUGACCCCCCUCUCAUUAAAAAGGAGAAGGAGCCCACUCGCAUCAAAGAGGAGGAGGAGCAAAAGCAUCAUAACACCAAGCAGGAUGAAGGAAAGCCUCCCUACAUCAAAGCGGAAGAGGAGGAGUAUAUCUGUAAGUUUCCAUCGACUGGUGGCCCUUUGAAGAGUAAAGAUGAAGGUCAAAGUGAAGCGAGCGGAGGGGCGGGGCCUCUAAGCAGCAGCAUCUCAAGUCAACACAUGAGAACAGAAGGUGAUGCAGGCCACUGUACAGGGUCACGGGUGGACGGCCACUCAGCUCCCCGAUCAGAUAGUGAUGGGACAACGUCACACUCUCAUACUGAUGCUGAACCGCCUGAAGGUGAUAUGACAAGUGAAACUGCCAAACGCUGGAAAUGUUCUCAGUGCCGGAAAACCUAUGUUUAUAAGAGCUGUUUGAAGAGUCAUAUGAUUAGCCACACUGGUGAGAAGCCUUUUUCCUGCUCAGAUUGUGGCCAAAGAUUUUCUCACAAGGUAACUUUAAAGAGUCACCAAAGAACACACGCCAAGGAGAACCCUUUUGUCUGCUCAAUUUGUGGUCAAAGAUUCUCUCUGAAGGGACAAUUGAUAGAACACACAAUAACACACAGUCGUGAGAAAACUUUUCCCUGCUCAGUUUGCAACAAAAGAUUCUCUGACAGGAAAACAGUAAAAAUACACACAAGAACCCACACUGGUGAGAAACCUUUUGCCUGCUCACUUUGUGGCCAAAGAUUCUCUCAGAAGGGAAGCUUAGGACGGCACGCAAGAACUCACACUGGUGAGAAACCGUUUUUCUGCUUACUUUGUGGCAAAACAUUCUAUCGGAAGCAAAGCUUAAAAAUUCACAAAAGAACCCACAAUGGUGGGAAACAAUUUGUCUGUUCAAUUUGUGGCCAAAUAUUCACUGUUAAAGGACACUUAAAAAUACACAGAAAAACACACACUGGUGAGAACCCUUAUGCCUGCUUGGUUUGUGGCCAAAGAUUUUCUAUAAAGAGUCACUUGACAGAACACACAAGAACACACUCGAGAGAGAAACCCUUUCCCUGCUCAGUUUGUGGCAAAAGUUUCUCUGAUAAUACACACUUAAGAACACACACGAAAACACACACUCGUGAGAAACCUUUUGUCUGCUCAGUUUGUGGCAAAAGACUCUCAAAUAAGGCAAGUUUAAAAAUUCACACAAGAACCCACACUGGUGAGAAACCAUUUGUCUGCUCGGUUUGUGGCCAAAGAUUCUCUGUUAAAGGACACUUGACAGAGCACACAAGAACACACACUAGGGAGAAACCUUUUGUCUGCUCAGUUUGUGACAAAGCAUUUGCCCGGAGGCAAAGCUUAAAACAUCACACAAGAACCCACACUGGUGAGAAACUUUUUAUCUGCUCAUUUUGUGGCAAAAGAUUCUCCCGAAAGGAAAGCUUAAAACGUCACACAAGAACCCACACUGGUGAGAAACCGUAUUUCUGCUCAAUUUGUCGACAAAAAUUCUCGAUCAAGGGACAAUUGACAGAACAUAUAGCCAAACACUCUGGUGAGAAACCUUUUGCCUGUUCAGUUUGUGGUCAGAGAUUCUCUCGUCAGACAGACUUAAAGACACACACCAGAAAGCACACUGGUGAGAAACCUUUUUCCUGCUCAGUUUGCGGCAAAAGAUUCUCUCGAAAAGGAACUCUGUUACGACACACAAGAACCCACACUGGUGAAAAACCCUUUGCCUGUUCAGUCUGUGGCCAAAAAUUCUCUUGGAAGUAUCAGGUGAAGAAUCACAAGUGUGUUGGCGAGACAAGCAGUAAUCAAUGAAGCUUUCUCCUCUGAUCUGAGCAGGCUUCAUCACUUCACACUCCAAAGAUGACUGAAUUCUAUUUACUUUCUUUGGGGUGAAAGCUGAAGUUUUGUUUUCCAUCACUGCAGUGGAAAGCUCAGAGGACUGCUGCUCCACUGGAGUAGUCACUGAAAUGGCUGGAGACAGCGGUGUGUGUACGACAUGAUUGACAGACCCCGUUGGCCAUACCUUAUGUCUGCUGCGCGGGUCUCUGAUUGGUUGGAUUUUAAUAAUUCAAAAUUAAAUUUGAGGCACAAGAUCGGGCCACAGACGGAUGACAUUUCGAAAGAUAUUUUGAAUAACACGCUACCAUCAGGUAAUAUGAUGUUUUAACUGAUGACAAACGUUUGAUUGUUUUUUCAAAGUAUCUACGAUAUCUAACUUCACUAUGAUCUACGUGGAGUUCUCUGUCUCAUGACACCGAGGCACUUGGAUGCUCUACCACCAGGCCAUUUACCUGAAUAUGUGUUGAUUCUGUUCAGCUGCACAAAAAAGCAGAAGGAAUCUCAGUAAGAAGAUGGCUGUGC
Molecule: RNA transcript, 3276 nt
Organism: Hippocampus comes (tiger tail seahorse)
Lineage: Eukaryota; Metazoa; Chordata; Actinopteri; Syngnathiformes; Syngnathidae
Gene name: gastrula zinc finger protein XlCGF26.1-like
Exons: 4
Source: RefSeq, a predicted model, not a curated record